This 1711-nucleotide long non-coding RNA is filed under the name Canis lupus familiaris (dog). RNAcentral describes it as "lncRNA (ENSCAFG00845014793.1)". The record is from RNAcentral. Lineage: Eukaryota; Metazoa; Chordata; Mammalia; Carnivora; Canidae.
UUCUCUAUUUUUUUUUUUUUUUUGUAACAAACAUUACAUGAUGAAUUGGUUUCAGUGGAAUUCAAACGAUCUUGCUUUGGUUAUUUCUUAUCAGGAAUGCUGAAUUUUUUUUCUAGGAGUGAUGGCAGAACUGAAGGGGAGAAGGGGAGGCAUCUCUUGUGAGUCAAUUUAGCAAAAAAGGAAAUGGUGAAAUGAUCUUAAAUUAUUCCUGGGAAUAUAUUCUGGGUACUAAAGGGCACGUUGGUACUCUCAAAGAAUGGACACUUCCAGUUUUACCCAGUAAACCUCUGGUUGUACCUUAGGGCAACUUCCUUACUGUUUUUAUAUUUGCUGUCCAUAGAUAAGAGCUUCUGAAGGUCAUGGCACCCUUAGGCUCCCAUUAGCUGGGUGGGGGAAGUUCUUUAAUAUUUACCUAGUGUGCACAGCAUGCCAGGAACUCUACAGCAGAUAUAUGAAACAUGCCCAGCCUCUAGCUUGGACUGAGGAGGGAAGACGUCCCUGGAGGUGAGGUGUACCCUCUGCUCAUUCCAACUUCUGGAGUUUCUGGGGGAUACCCUAAGGGAUCAUAGCCAUCUUCAUCCAGUGUCUACACUACCCACCAUGGAAGUAUGUUUGUAUAAUACAGGCUGAGUCAGUCACAUGUUGAAAAAGAUACACUUUACUUCUUGGAAUAUUCUUGGAACAAUUUAAUUGCAUUUUGCCCGAAGACAAACUUGCUCAGAUAUAUUUCUUUUUGAUCCACACCUUGCCCUCCUCCACCUACCCCCCCCCCCCCCUUGGUAUAAAGCCCUCAUGUUUCUCUUCAUCUGCUCUAAACCCUCUCUGGGGAAAUUCUGCAUUUUAUUUUGGAGGUAUUCUUUUAUUCCAGAUAAAUGUCCAGGAAUAUAAAAAAAAAAAAAUGAAGUGAGCGAGGUACAAAAUGUAAAAAGCCCUCUUAUCCAAGAAUGAAAUGGGGAGUGGUGAAGACUGGGAUGAACUCCUAAGGCAGUUUCUAGUUAAAUCUCUGGCUAAUUGAAAAAUAAUAUUAAGUAUGGAACUCGUUUGUUUAGCCAAACAACGAAAAUAAAAGUGGAUGCAGUGCUCAUGAUAUAAGAAAACUUAUUUUUGUGGAGAUAGGGAUCCCUGGGUGGCUCAGUGGUUUAGAGCCUGCCUUUGGCCCAGGGCAUGAUCCUGGAGUCCUGGGAUCGAGUCCCACGUCAGGCUCCCUGCAUGGAGUCUGCUUCUCCCUCUGCCUGUGUCUCUGCCUCUCUCUUUCUGUGUCUCUUGUGAAUAAAUAAAUAAAAUCUUAAAAAAAAAAAAAAGAAAACUUUGUGGAGAUAAACGGAAAACCUAAUGGUGUGCUAGCCAGUGAGUUUUAAUUUCCCUGUAUAACUGCUAGUGAGUCCCAGGGCACAACUUGUGAGAUACUAAGUAUCCUCUAAAGAGAUUUUAGUCAGGCUUAAACAGUUUUCUUUUUGCCAGAACUUUAAUGGUCCUCACAUUUUAUAUCUGUUGCUAUUAUUAUUAAAUUUUCCAUACUGAAAAAUAAUUUAUUAAUAAUGACAUUUAUUUUAGGCAAGAUUUAGUCACAUGUCACAGAUACUCUGAAAAGGACAGUUAUAAAUUUAGGUUCUUCUUAAAACAAACAUUAUCAAAUAACCAAGAUAGAGCCUAAUCCAUAUGAUAUCCAUCAUCCUAGCAUCUUGUAAACAUUAAAUCACUGGUCUUCUAA